This 331-nucleotide ribosomal RNA is filed under the name uncultured eukaryote. RNAcentral describes it as "partial 18S ribosomal RNA". It matches the Rfam family "Eukaryotic small subunit ribosomal RNA", at positions 1470 to 1796 of the family's 1831-position model. The record is from RNAcentral.
CCCUUAGAUGUUCUGGGCCGCACGCGCGCUACACUGAUGAAUUCAACGAGUUUAUAACCUUGGCAGAGAUGCCUGGGUAAUCUUGUAAAUGUUCAUCGUGAUGGGGAUAGAUUAUUGCAAUUAUUAAUCUUCAACGAGGAAUUCCUAGUAAACGCAAGUCAUCAGCUUGCAUUGAUUACGUCCCUGCCCUUUGUACACACCGCCCGUCGCACCUACCGAUUGAAUGGUGCGGUGAAAUCUCUGGACCGUGACAGUUGCUUGCUUUCGGGCGAGCGACUGUCGUGGGAAGUUGAUUAAACCUUAUCAUUUAGAGGAAGGUGAAGUCGUAACA